This 1076-nucleotide long non-coding RNA is filed under the name Calidris pugnax (ruff). RNAcentral describes it as "lncRNA (ENSCPUG00000008733.1)". The record is from RNAcentral. Lineage: Eukaryota; Metazoa; Chordata; Aves; Charadriiformes; Scolopacidae.
GGAAGAAGUGAAAGAACAACUAGAAAAGAAAAAGAAAGGAUCCAGGGCUCUGGCUGAGUUUGAAGAAAAGAUGAAUGAGAAUUGGAGGAAAGAACUGGAAAAACACAGAGAGAAAUUACUGGGUGGAAGCGAGAGUUCCUCCAAAAAGAAGGAGAAAAAGAAAAAGGAAAAGAAGAAAUCUAAUAGGGUGAGCAAAAUUUUUGGUUUUCUGAGUUUUUUGCUUUGAUGUUGUUCCUAUUUGUCAUUUAAGCUCUUGGAAAGAGAAAGUAUAGCCGUAAUUUUGAAUUUAGCUGUUAAAUUGAUUUUUAUUUGAGAGAGAUGGCUUACAUUCUAUACAAGGAGAAUUUUACUUCUGCUUAAGGGGAGGAAAAGAGCAUGAAAUACAUAUUAUUAAAUGAAAAAUGUUAGAAGUCACUUUUUACAGUUUUAUUUAAGAAAAUUUAUGUAAUACCAGCUUCUUGGAAGUAAAAUUUCAUUGAUAAUACUUUGCAAAUGAAGAAAUUUUAAAGGAAGUGUUUGGAUGGACUUUUGACUAUUUGCCAGACAAAAUGCUGCAUCUCACAAGCUUCACUUUUUGUUGUGUUUGGUCAAGUUGUCUUCAUCUUCCUCUUCUUCAUCAAGCUCUGAUUCUUCCAGCAGUUCAUCUGAUUCAGAAGAUGAGGAUAAAAAGCAAGGGAAGAAAAAAAGGAAAAAGAAAUAUCGCUCCUCACGGAAAUCUUCAACAAGCUCCACUUCUGAAUCGGAGUCAGACAGCAAGGACAGCACAAAAAAGAAAAGGUCAAAGGAAGAUCAUGAAAAAGAGAAGGAAGGCAAAAAUCACCACAGGAAGAGGAAGAAAGCCAGUCGUGGUGAUGGACCUUUAUCAUCAGAAUCCUUAUCGGAAUCAGAUCAUACAGAGGAGGUGCAAGCAAAAAAGAAGAGAAACAAUGAGGAAAAAGAGAAAACAGAUAAAGCAAAAAAGAGAAAGAAGCACAAGAAACACGGUAAAAAGAAGAAAAAGAAGAUUGCUGGUUCAAAUUCAGAUUUGGAAUAAUGUUUUUAAAAUACAAGACUAUCAACAGAAGUGCAAUGACUAA